AGUGAGAUAGCUGGGUGGUUCCAUUCCAAGUUUUCUGAGGAAUCUCCAUAUUGCUUUCCAGAAUGGUUGCACCAAUUUGCAGCCCCACCAGCAAU
This 95-nucleotide microRNA precursor is filed under the name Marmota monax (woodchuck). Lineage: Eukaryota; Metazoa; Chordata; Mammalia; Rodentia; Sciuridae. The record is from RNAcentral.